RNAcentral lists this ribosomal RNA (506 nucleotides) under uncultured bacterium. Its description in RNAcentral is "partial 16S ribosomal RNA". It matches the Rfam family "Bacterial small subunit ribosomal RNA", at positions 28 to 523 of the family's 1533-position model. The record is from RNAcentral.
GAUGAACGCUAGCUACAGGCUUAACACAUGCAAGUCGAGGGGUAACGAGAGGAAAGCUUGCUUUCCUUGUCGACGACCGGCGCACGGGUGAGUAACGCGUAUCCAACCUGCCCCCAACUAGGGAAUAACCUUGCGAAAGUAAGACUAAUACCCUAUAAUUUCCUCAGAUGUCAUCUGACGAGGAAUAAAGAUUUAUCGGUUGUGGAUGGGGAUGCGUCUGAUUAGCUUGUUGGCGGGGUAACGGCCCACCAAGGCAACGAUCAGUAGGGGUUCUGAGAGGAAGGUCCCCCACAUUGGAACUGAGACACGGUCCAAACUCCUACGGGAGGCAGCAGUGGGGAAUAUUGGUCAAUGGGCGGAAGCCUGAACCAGCCAAGUAGCGUGCAGGAUGACGGCCCUAUGGGUUGUAAACUGCCUUUAUACAGGAAUAAAGUUAGCCACGUGUGGUUAUUUGUAGGUACUGUAUGAAUAAGGACCGGCUAAUUCCGUGCCAGCAGCCGCCGUAA